ACUCCACUUUUUGCCGGAUUCCAGUGAUCAAUGACAGUUUGCUGCUACGAUCACAUGUUUAAAAGGGAACGCAACCAAAAUCCUAUCUAUGCAGCCCAGCUGCCGUUUCCAACUUACGAUCUAAUACAGUUAAUGUGCAAAAUAGUUAGUUGCGCACAGCGUAGUUGCCAUUAUUUUAUUAGCGAGAUUACUGUUCACGGCUAAAGGAAAAGAAAAAAUGUAAAGAGGGAACUGAUAGGAUAAUAAAAUUUGCAAUAAAUACCGGAGUAAUGAUGACAGGCGAAAAUAUUGAAGGAAAGUUUUGAAGUAUUAUCACAACGGAUACUAGGUAGCACUCGAUUGUAUGUAGCAGUGCUGGAGAUAUCUAAAGCCACCCACAAACUAGAGGACCUUCUGGAUGGAGAUUUUUGAUUCGAAAUGGCAUGCAUAUCAUAACGUACCGUUUAGAUGAGGGGCUGUGAGUUAAGGAAAGCUGCUAUUAAAUCACAAAAAAA
This is a long non-coding RNA of Hermetia illucens (black soldier fly), 494 nucleotides long. RefSeq lists it as uncharacterized. The record is from RefSeq and is a predicted model, not a curated record. The transcript is spliced from 2 exons. NCBI's taxonomy places the organism in Eukaryota, Metazoa, Arthropoda, Insecta, Diptera, Stratiomyidae.